Myotis myotis is the source of this 3191-nucleotide long non-coding RNA. RefSeq lists it as uncharacterized. Lineage: Eukaryota; Metazoa; Chordata; Mammalia; Chiroptera; Vespertilionidae. The record is from RefSeq and is a predicted model, not a curated record. The transcript has 5 exons.
ACUGUCAUGACUACAUCAUCAAGGAGCCCUUAUAGGAGACUCCAGAGAGCUCUCUUGCCCCUUUGCCAUGUGAAGACACAGCAAGAAGACUGCCAUCUAUGAACCAGGUAGUGGGCUCUCAACAGGCAUGGAAUGUGCUGCCACCUUGAUCUUGGACUUCCCAACCGUCAGAACUCUCCAGAGGAAAUUCCCAACGGAAAGAGACAACACAGAAGCAUUUUAAACUCCAACCACAUGGAAAAGAGUGAAGAGGGAGCGUGUCAAAUCUUCAGUGUUGGAGCCUGCUCCCUCGGGAGAAUUCUAAAUAACGGCGGUCAUCCUGUUGAAUAUUAAACUGAGGACUGGAUGGCCGAGAGAACACAAUCCCAAACAUCUGGACACUGUCUACUAACUAGGCCAAAGGCGAAGAAAGGAGAUGAAUCUACUACAGUUGUCCUUGUAUCCCAAGACCUCAGACACCAAGACAGACUGCAGUCCUGGGGCAAGAGGCUCCUCCUUGUGUCCAGGGAUUUCUGCACUGCAGAGCUUCAGGGAAUGUGCAGGGCACGCUGGAGAAGCCCUGGCCCCUCUGACCCUUUGGGCCAACCCUCAUACUUUGCAGGCCUUUGGACCGUACUUUAGAAACCAGCCCCCGACUAAACCUAUAGAGGUCACCAUCUGGUCCUGAGGCUUUCUGAGGUGGAGAAUGAACUUGUUUUGCCCACAGAGGGCCAACGCCUAGAAUUCAGGUGUGGUGCUAUCCCGCAUCACCAGUCAAUCCAUGCGAAUGUGACAAUGACUCACAAUUCUCUGCAGCACAGUUUUCCAAAGUAUGGGCCAUAGGCCCCUUGCACCAACAUCUGUGGGUACUUACUUCCCCUGGAACAUCUUAAAUGUUGUUGGAAUCAUCGCUGUGAAUGUCACAGGAGACCAUUUCUGUGGAUACCUGAUGAGACAGAGUGUUUUGGAAAGGAACAAGGGGAUUCAGCUGACUCCACUGGAGGGGGCUACCGUCCCUAAUUUACUGUUCCAUUCCUAAAGCUUCACCCUCCUGGGCUCAGUGUGAGCAGACAGGAGCACAGGAGGCUAAAACCACCAUGGAGAUUCAAGUUCACAGUCACAGAGCUGCCCCUCCACUGGGCCAGAGGCAAAGAAAAAUCCCAACCUCUUCCUUGUGAUCAUCUGGUUUUAUUGAACCUGGAAAGGAAGUAAAUUCCAAAGGCAGGAAAUGACCCAGGGACCAUAACAACAUGUGAAAAGCCAAGCCGGUGCUUCCGUCACUUUGUUUCAAACUAUUCUAAUCUGUGUCCCGGGAAGCCUAACCCAUUACCAGAUGGAGAUCUGUUUUCAUUCGCCUCUUGGCAUCUGCCACUCCCGGCUGGUGACAUUUGCACGUUUCAGAAGGCAAACCUGUGCCGACAUCUUCAAACUUCCGGAGAGUGCAGCCCCAGGAAAGUCCUUGGGUCUCUGGCUGACAGCACCAGCCAUCUGACGCGCUUCGUCUGCAGCCGAACUGCCGCUGGCCUCCAGCCUAGAACACUAGCACACCGUGUCUGUUCUUGAAGAUUUGCAGAAUCUGAAAUCAAAAUGCCCCAUGUUGCCAGAAAAAGGCAGGCUCCCUCCCUAAUCCCUUCUCACCAGGCUUUCCUAACCCGGUGAGUCAGGAAGGACAAAAAUGUGUCUGAAGAUCUGGGGGUGGCCCUGUUUCUCUUCUUGCUUCUAAAAAUGUCCUCCCCUUUUCCAAUGUGUGUAAUGGUUAGGGAUGCGGUUGUACUUUUUCUUUGGUCCUUCCUCUAUCAGCUCUCACUUGGAGAGACCCUUCAUUUACCACUCAUGAAAUCAGCUCUGCAAAAGCACCAGGCCCUCUGAUGAGGAAUUAGUCACUCACUGUUGCAAAGAAGUUCUGACUUCACUUCUAUCCCCAGGAGCAAGGCAAGAAAAAACUCCUACCUCUUCUCUCAGAAGGAACCAUCAUUCAGCUGCUUUGUUCUGGUCCCUGGGGGCCUGUAUUUUCCUAGGCUUUUAAUUUUUCCUGAACACCGAGCAUUAGCCUUCCUAUGAAGGCUGUGUGCCAGCUGGAUUCUAAACACAGCGAUCGAGGUACCCUGUUAAGAGCUCCCCUCCACCAGGUAAUCAGAAAGUAGAAAGUAGCUAUAGUUGAAUGAAUAAUCCGCCUCUUUCAACACUUUCAAAUGUUAAACAGAUUGAAGUAUAAAGAAUCCAAUAUAUUUGUUGACGUCUGGUCCGCAGAAAAGCUCCAGCAAGAAAGAAGUGGGAAGUCCCACAUCAAGCUGGGGAAAUGGGAACAGCGGUGGAGGGCUGUGAGCAAAACCACUCCAGGCCACUGUCUACAAUUAUGUUCUGUUUGUUAGGAAAGACGCUUUAAAAAGUAUGUUCUGCCCAGCCAUGGUGGCUCAUUGGUUGAGUGUGGACCUAUGAACCAGGAAGUCACGGUUUGAUUCCCCCUUGGAGUACACGUGCCUGGGUUUUGGGCUCCAUCCUCAAUGUGGGGUGUGCAGGAGGCAGCCAGUCAAUGAUUCUCUCAUCAUUGAUGUUUCUAUCUCUCGUUCCCUCUCCUUUCCUCUCUCUGAAAUCAAUAAAAACAUAUUUUUAAAAAACGUUCUGAUAAGCUUGGAUUUCUCCAUGGAAAGGGAAUAUAGUCUCCAUUACAAGAGAGCAGGUUGAUAUCAGAGGCAGGUUGUAUCCACUGUGGGUCGCUGGCAGUAGAUAGAAGAUAAAAGAAGCUAAGAGAUCUUCAUAAAAAGGGAGGGGAGAGAGAGAGUGAGCGAGCCUUUUUUGUUAUUGCUGGGAAGAGAUGGUCUUGUAGAAGAUAUAAGAGAUGUAUGUGUCUGUCUCUCCCCUUUGCUCUGCCUAUGGAAAAUGAGCCAGGAAAAAGCUAGAAACAGGAGACAGAGGGAGGCCGUCUUCCCAACUGUUGACAGCAGCCAAACAGGAUAAAUAGUUCAUAUGUUGAUGAUCUUGACAACAGUAAUCAUGAAGAGAAGGUAUUGACCCAGAUGAAAGAAAUAGGCUUUUAAUUUCAAGCUAUGCUUAAGCCCCAACGUGCUCCUAUCGGAGCCACUUACAUCAUCCAAGGGACUUUUGACUACAAUGACAGGAAUUUAGGGUAAAUGAAAUCAUACAACUUUUUUUUUUUUUUUAAAGAUUUCCUUCCAUAACUUUUUUUUUAAAAUAUAUUUUUAUUGAUUUUU